This 253-nucleotide ribosomal RNA is filed under the name uncultured bacterium. RNAcentral's name for it is "partial 16S ribosomal RNA". It matches the Rfam family "Bacterial small subunit ribosomal RNA", at positions 524 to 776 of the family's 1533-position model. The record is from RNAcentral.
UACGUAGGGGGCAAGCGUUGUCCGGAUUUAUUGGGCGUAAAGAGCGUGUAGGCGGCCUGGUAGGUCAGCUGUGAAAACUCGAGGCUCAACCUCGAGACGCCGAUGGAAACCAUCUGACUAGAGUCCGGAAGAGGAGAGUGGAAUUCCUGGUGUAGCGGUGAAAUGCGCAGAUAUCAGGAAGAACACCCGUGGCUAAGGCGGCUCUCUAGUACGGUACUGACGCUGAGACGCGAAAGCGUGGGGAGCGAACAGG